Molecule: ribosomal RNA, 253 nt
Filed under: uncultured bacterium
Lineage: Bacteria
Description: partial 16S ribosomal RNA
Rfam family: Bacterial small subunit ribosomal RNA
Source: RNAcentral
UACGUAGGGUGCAAGCGUUAAUCGGAAUUACUGGGCGUAAAGCGUGCGCAGGCGGUGAUGUAAGACAGGUGUGAAAUCCCCGGGCUUAGCCUGGGAACUGCAUUUGUGACUGCAUUGCUGGAGUGCGGCAGAGGGGGAUGGAAUUCCGCGUGUAGCAGUGAAAUGCGUAGAUAUGCGGAGGAACACCGAUGGCGAAGGCAAUCCCCUGGGCCUGCACUGACGCUCAUGCACGAAAGCGUGGGGAGCGAACAGG